GUUCGCGUAACUCAGUGGAUUAGAGUGUGAGAUUGCAACUUUCACAAAGGGUCUCUAUCUCUUUAGGAAUAAAUCUUGAAGUCGCGUGUUCGAAUCACGCCGCGGACU
RNAcentral lists this transfer RNA (108 nucleotides) under Lentinula boryana. RNAcentral's name for it is "tRNA-Cys". It matches the Rfam family "tRNA". Rfam says of the family: Transfer RNA (tRNA) molecules are approximately 80 nucleotides in length. Their secondary structure includes four short double-helical elements and three loops (D, anti-codon, and T loops). Further hydrogen bonds mediate the characteristic L-shaped molecular structure. tRNAs have two regions of fundamental functional importance: the anti-codon, which is responsible for specific mRNA codon recognition, and the 3' end, to which the tRNAs corresponding amino acid is attached (by aminoacyl-tRNA synthetases). tRNAs cope with the degeneracy of the genetic code in two manners: having more than one tRNA (with a specific anti-codon) for a particular amino acid; and 'wobble' base-pairing, i.e. permitting non-standard base-pairing at the 3rd anti-codon position. The record is from RNAcentral. Lineage: Eukaryota; Fungi; Basidiomycota; Agaricomycetes; Agaricales; Omphalotaceae.